UACGUAGGGUGCAAGCGUUAUCCGGAAUUAUUGGGCGUAAAGAGCUCGUAGGCGGUUUGUCGCGUCUGCUGUGAAAACUGGAGGCUCAACCUCCAGCCUGCAGUGGGUACGGGCAAACUAGAGUGCGGUAGGGGAGACUGGAAUUCCUGGUGUAGCGGUGAAAUGCGCAGAUAUCAGGAGGAACACCGGUGGCGAAGGCGGGUCUCUGGGCCAUUACUGACGCUGAGGAGCGAAAGCGUGGGGAGCGAACAGG
This 253-nucleotide ribosomal RNA is filed under the name uncultured bacterium. RNAcentral's name for it is "partial 16S ribosomal RNA". It matches the Rfam family "Bacterial small subunit ribosomal RNA", at positions 524 to 776 of the family's 1533-position model. The record is from RNAcentral.